Molecule: ribosomal RNA, 484 nt
Filed under: uncultured bacterium
Lineage: Bacteria
Description: partial 16S ribosomal RNA
Rfam family: Bacterial small subunit ribosomal RNA
Source: RNAcentral
GACGAACGCUGGCGGCGUGCUUAACACAUGCAAGUCGAACGAUGAAGCCGGAGCUUGCUCUGGUGAAUUAGUGGCGAACGGGUGAGUAACACGUGAGUAACCUGCCCUUGACUCUGGGAUAACUGCGGGAAACUGUAGCUAAUACCGGAUACGACCCUCGGAGGCAUCUCCGGGGGGUGGAAAGGAUUUCGGUCAAGGACGGACUCGCGGCCUAUCAGCUAGUUGGUGAGGUAAAGGCUCACCAAGGCGACGACGGGUAGCCGGCCUGAGAGGGUGACCGGCCACACUGGGACUGAGACACGGCCCAGACUCCUACGGGAGGCAGCAGUGGGGAAUAUUGCACAAUGGGCGCAAGCCUGAUGCAGCAACGCCGCGUGAGGGAUGACGGCCUUCGGGUUGUAAACCUCUUUUAGCAGGGAAGAAGCGAAAGUGACGGUACCUGCAGAAAAAGCACCGGCUAACUACGUGCCAGCCGCCGCCGUAA